AGCUCCACAGUGGAGGAGAGGAGCUCCUGAAACCGGAGCGUCCACUGAGCGGCGCCGCAGCCCGCAACUUCCACAGCCAACCAGCCAGCGCUUCCUCCCUGCAACACGCUGCAGGCCAAUCCGCUCACCCACUCCUCCGCGUUGGGUUACUGUGACAAGGGCCCUGUCUGAACCACGACUUUUAGAAAGAUAAUAUUACAGGCCCACAGCUGAUCCAUCCCCCAGUACACAAUUGAGACAGAGGAGGUUAAAGCACUCUGAACGCAUGGGACCAUAUUGCAGGUAUUUGUGCCUGUGGCAGGGUCUUGGUCUUUUGUUCUCCUCCUGCUCCUCCUCUGCAUCACAAGACGACCCGCAUGCACACGAGCUUCAGACAGCGCCUCCCAGCACUCCUCCAUGUUCUCCUCCAUCUGCCUUCUCUCCAUUGAUCAGCCUUCCAGGGCAUCAGUCUGUUUAACAUCUGCUACAAGUUCCAGCAGCUCAGAUGCGCAGAGGCUGUAAUGAAGAGCUCUUGAACUCCCAGUCAGAGAAGCUGUGACAGGAGUUCAGGAGGAUGCCUCUUUGGCUCUGCUGGAAAGGGACCUCCACUGUGGAUGAAAUUUAGCCCCGACCUCUGACCUUUGGGUUCAGCGCUUGUCUCCAGUCCAGUGACCACAAACAACUCCUGGAUUGCUGUAAAUGUCAGUGCAGCGGUGUCUCCGCCCUCGCCCCUGUGAACCAUAGGGCUGCACUCAACCUGCACUAAUAGGACACUUUCAUGAGAGCUCCAUUAUCAGUUAUGCUGUAUUUGAUAUCUCAGAUUUCCUCCUUAUGAUGCCUCUAUGAACUGAAGGACUGUCACCAAACAAACAGCAAUAAAGGGUCUGUCUUUUACACUUCUUAAAAAUAUUAUUUUAUUCAGCAAACAUUAAAUUUGUUAGCACCCAGCUUAAAGUGCUUGACACAGCCCAAAAAUAUGAAUUAUUGUAAUCAUUUACAUUUUAUAUCGGAAAUGUACGCUUUUAGAUGCAGAGUUUUAAAAUGUAUUGCCUAAAGAGUGCACGGUGAGCUGUUGGAAGUGACCCAUUUAGCACACAAAGCAGCUGGUACCAUCUAUCAUAAGGCUCAGUUAUAAUAGAUUGUAAUUCAUGUUCUGAAGACAUUGGUUGUAAUGCAUCCCAUUUUGAAGCACUUUGGCUCGCCCUUCCCCCACCCAUAAACACACACGCUCCCUUUCUCUCCUCUCCGGGCCUCCCGAGGUUGGUGUCUCUGCGUUAGGACUCUAUUGUUGCCUACUGCUGGAUAAUGCCCUUAUUAAUUGUACCUCUUUGUAAGGUGUCAGCUGUAGCCUCAGAUUGAGAUGGAUGGAUCUCUGGAGUCUGCUCCCUGGCCCUCCACAGACGCUCUAUCUCUGCACAACACACAGAUGCAACAGCGACAACAUCAGUAUCCCAAGUGAACAAGGAGGAUUUUUUUCCCCUCCUCUCUUCAUCGCCCACUGCGCUGUUCUCCGCUGCCAGAGGUCGACCAGUUCUGUCGCAGUGACUUCAACCAAACCACUAAUUGUUACUCUUUAAUAGCGCCUGAAUUUGCCCCACUCAGGCUCGUGCAAAGCUGUGUAAAAAUUAU
Dicentrarchus labrax (European seabass) is the source of this 1608-nucleotide long non-coding RNA. RefSeq lists it as uncharacterized. The record is from RefSeq and is a predicted model, not a curated record. The transcript is spliced from 7 exons. NCBI's taxonomy places the organism in Eukaryota, Metazoa, Chordata, Actinopteri, Moronidae.